Molecule: ribosomal RNA, 497 nt
Filed under: uncultured bacterium
Lineage: Bacteria
Description: partial 16S ribosomal RNA
Rfam family: Bacterial small subunit ribosomal RNA
Source: RNAcentral
GAUGAACGCUGGCGGCGUGCCUAAUACAUGCAAGUCGAGCGAACAGACGAGGAGCUUGCUCCUCUGAUGUUAGCGGCGGACGGGUGAGUAACACGUGGAUAACCUACCUAUAAGACUGGGAUAACUUCGGGAAACCGGAGCUAAUACCGGAUAACAUGUUGAACCGCAUGGUUCAACAGUGAAAGACGGUUUUGCUGUCACUUAUAGAUGGAUCCGCGCCGCAUUAGCUAGUUGGUAAGGUAACGGCUUACCAAGGCAACGAUGCGUAGCCGACCUGAGAGGGUGAUCGGCCACACUGGAACUGAGACACGCUCCAGACUCCUACGGGAGGCAGCAGUAGGGAAUCUUCCGCAAUGGGCGAAAGCCUGACGGAGCAACGCCGCGUGAGUGAAGAAGGUCUUCGGAUCGUAAAACUCUGCUAUUAGGGAAGAACAAAUGUGUAAGUAACUAUGCACGUCUUGACGGUACCUAAUCAGAAAGCCACGGCUAACUACGUG